UGCGUAGGCGGGUUUCUAAGUCAGAGGUGAAAGGCUACGGCUCAACCGUAGUAAGCCUUUGAAACUGGGAAACUUGAGUGCAGGAGAGGAGAGUGGAAUUCCUAGUGUAGCGGUGAAAUGCGUAGAUAUUAGGAGGAACACCAGUUGCGAAGGCGGCUCUCUGGACUGUAACUGACACUGAGGCACGAAAGCGUGGGGAGCAAACA
Molecule: ribosomal RNA, 206 nt
Filed under: uncultured bacterium
Lineage: Bacteria
Description: partial 16S ribosomal RNA
Rfam family: Bacterial small subunit ribosomal RNA
Source: RNAcentral